This 335-nucleotide ribosomal RNA is filed under the name uncultured bacterium. RNAcentral describes it as "SSU rRNA". It matches the Rfam family "Bacterial small subunit ribosomal RNA", at positions 26 to 376 of the family's 1533-position model. The record is from RNAcentral.
AGGAUGAACGCUGGCGGCGUGCCUAAUACAUGCAAGUCGAGCGGCAGCGCGGUCUUCGGACUGGCGGCGAGCGGCGGACGGCUGAGUAACACGUAGGAACGUACCCCCAAAGUGAGGCAUAAAACACCAGAAAUGGUGUCUAAUACCACAUGUGCUCUAAGGAGUAAAGCUUCGGUGCUUUGGGAACGGCCUGCGCAUGAUUAGCUUGUUGGUGAGGUAAUGGCUCACCAAGGCGACGAUCAUUAGCUGGUCUGAGAGGAUGAUCAGCCAGACUGGGACUGAGAACGGCCCAGACUCCUACGGGAGGCAGCAGUAGGGAAUUUUCCACAAUGGGC